GGAAUUUUGGACAAUGGGCGAAAGCCUGAUCCAGCAAUGCCGCGUGCAGGAUGAAGGCCUUCGGGUUGUAAACUGCUUUUGUACGGAACGAAAAGUCUCGGGAUAAUACCCUGGGACCAUGACGGUACCGUAAGAAUAAGCACCGGCUAACUACGUGCCAGCAGCCGCGGUAAUACGUAGGGUGCAAGCGUUAAUCGGAAUUACUGGGCGUAAAGCGUGCGCAGGCGGUUAUAUAAGACAGAUGUGAAAUCCCCGGGCUCAACCUGGGAACUGCAUUUGUGACUGUAUAGCUAGAGUACGGUAGAGGGGGAUGGAAUUCCGCGUGUAGCAGUGAAAUGCGUAGAUAUGCGGAGGAACACCGAUGGCGAAGGCAAUCCCCUGGACCUGUACUGACGCUCAUGCACGAAAGCGUGGGGAGCAAACAGGAUUAGAUACCCCAG
Molecule: ribosomal RNA, 440 nt
Filed under: uncultured Acidovorax sp.
Lineage: Bacteria; Pseudomonadati; Pseudomonadota; Betaproteobacteria; Burkholderiales; Comamonadaceae
Description: bacterial SSU rRNA
Rfam family: Bacterial small subunit ribosomal RNA
Source: RNAcentral